RNAcentral lists this transfer RNA (101 nucleotides) under compost metagenome. RNAcentral describes it as "tRNA-Arg". The record is from RNAcentral.
CGGCCGGAGCGGCGCGCGGGGCGUGGCAGCCGGAGCCUCCGGCGCGCAGCGGGUCACCGCUCCCAUGCCGGGCCGCGUGGUUCGAGUCCUCGUCCAGGUGG